GAUGAAGAACGUAGCGAAAUGCGAUAAGUAGUGUGAAUUGCAGAAUUCAGUGAAUCAUCGAAUCUUUGAACGCACAUUGCGCCCUUUGGUAUUCCAAAGGGCAUGCCUGUUCGAGCGUCAUUUGUACCCUCAAGCUUUGCUUGGUGUUGGGCGUCUUGUCUCUAGCUUUGCUGGAGACUCGCCUUAAAGUAAUUGGCAGCCGGCCUACUGGUUUCGGAGCGCAGCACAAGUCGCACUCUCUAUCAGCAAAGGUCUAGCAUCCAUUAAGCCUUUUUUUCAACUUUUGACCUCGGAUCAGGUAGGGAUACCCGCUGAACUUAAGCAUAUCAAUAACGGAGGA
RNAcentral lists this unclassified non-coding RNA (340 nucleotides) under soil metagenome. Its description in RNAcentral is "partial contains 5.8S ribosomal RNA, internal transcribed spacer 2, and large subunit ribosomal RNA". The stretch from base 1 to 120 matches the Rfam family "5.8S ribosomal RNA", at positions 35 to 154 of the family's 154-position model. The record is from RNAcentral.